Molecule: ribosomal RNA, 491 nt
Filed under: uncultured bacterium
Lineage: Bacteria
Description: partial 16S ribosomal RNA
Rfam family: Bacterial small subunit ribosomal RNA
Source: RNAcentral
GUGAACGCUGGCGGUAGGCCUAACACAUGCAAGUCGAACGGCAGCACAGUAAGAGCUUGCUCUUCCGGGUGGCGAGUGGCGGACGGGUGAGGAAUACAUCGGCAUCUACUUUUUCGUGGGGGAUAACGUAGGGAAACUUACGCUAAUACCGCAUACGACCUACGGGUGAAAGCAGGGGAUCUUCGGACCUUGCGCGAUUGAAUGAGCCGAUGUCGGAUUAGCUAGUUGGCGGGGUAAAGGCCCACCAAGGCGACGAUCCGUAGCUGGUCUGAGAGGAUGAUCAGCCACACUGGAACUGAGACACGGUCCAGACUCCUACGGGAGGCAGCAGUGGGGAAUAUUGGACAAUGGGCGCAAGCCUGAUCCAGCCAUACCGCGUGGGUGAAGAAGGCCUUCGGGUUGUAAAGCCCUUUUGUUGGGAAAGAAAAGCAGCAGGUUAAUACCCCGCUGUUCUGACGGUACCCAAAGAAUAAGCACCGGCUAACCUCGUG